AGUUCGGAUUGCAGGCUGCAACCCGCCUGCAUGAAGUUGGAAUCGCUAGUAAUCGCGGAUCAGCAUGCCGCGGUGAAUACGUUCCCGGGCCUUGUACACACCGCCCGUCACACCACGAGAGUUUACAACACCCGAAGUCAGUGGCCUAACCGCAAGGAGGGAGCUGCCUAAGGUGGGGUAGAUGAUUGGGGUGAAGUCGUAACAAGGUAUC
This 211-nucleotide ribosomal RNA is filed under the name uncultured bacterium. RNAcentral's name for it is "partial 16S ribosomal RNA". It matches the Rfam family "Bacterial small subunit ribosomal RNA", at positions 1290 to 1500 of the family's 1533-position model. The record is from RNAcentral.